CCUACGGGUGGCAGCAGUGAGGAAUAUUGGUCAAUGGACGCGAGUCUGAACCAGCCAAGUAGCGUGAAGGAUGACUGCCCUACGGGUUGUAAACUUCUUUUAUAAAGGAAUAAAGUGAGGCACGUGUGCCUUUUUGUAUGUACUUUAUGAAUAAGGAUCGGCGAACUCGGUCCCAGCGGCCGCGGUAAUACGGAGGAUCCGAGCGUUAUCCGGAUUUGUUGGGUUGAAAGGGAGCGUAGAUGGGUUGUUAAGUCAGUUGUGAAAGUUUGCGGCUCAACCGUAAAAGUGCAAUUGAUACUGGCAGUCUUGAGUACAGUUGAGGUAGGCGGAAUUCGUGGUGUAGCGGUGAAAUGCUUAGAUAGCACGAAGAACUCCGAUUGCGAAGGCAGCUUUCUAAACUGCAACUGACAUUGAGGCUCGAAAGUGUGGGUAUCAAACAGGAUUAGAUACCCGUGUAGUC
Molecule: ribosomal RNA, 460 nt
Filed under: uncultured bacterium
Lineage: Bacteria
Description: partial 16S ribosomal RNA
Rfam family: Bacterial small subunit ribosomal RNA
Source: RNAcentral